AAUGGAGCCACUGAAGGGGCCUUGAAGGAUGGUUAGGAUUUAGACAGAUGGAGUAGGUGCUAGGUCCUUUAGAUGAGGCAGCAAAGUGUCCAAAACGUAUUCAGGUGACAAGAAAUAGACAAGUCAGAAAGAAUAGGGUUGGAGGAGACAGGCUGUCUUAGAGAAAGAUUGAGCUCCCUGUGUCAAUAUACAUGGAUACAUGAUACUAGUUGCUAAUAUUUAUUGAACUUUGUAUUUAAUUCUGCCAUGAGAUUUUCUCCCCAUUGGUACCUAGGCUGAGAAGCUGGAAGAGCAGAGCCAUCUUCUAGCAAGAUUAGUCUCGUCAGAAUGCCACCACCACAGCCGCAGUACCUGCCAUGAGGGGAUCCCAGCCCUCCCUUUGUGUCUGUUAUACUCACUCAAGAGUCCAAAUUGUAGGAUGGGCUUCUGGUUGCCAGACUCUGGCCCAGUGCCUGGGCCCAGGCUGCCAGAGAUAGAGAGAGAAAGAGGAUCGCUCUGCUUUGUCAUCUGUAGUCACAGACCAGGUCAUGUGACACUCCUGCUCCCAAACAGAAGGAGGGUUCAACAUCGCACAGUAAAAAUGACAAAUGUCCACUACCUUCUGUAACCCCAUGGAAGGGGACAAUUCGGUUAUAACAUUUGUAGUGACAGAAGCAAGGACUAGGAUUAGAAUUAAUGUAGAGGAGGGGAAUUAGUUAUUUCUCAGAGACUUGGGGGGAUGGUAUAAUGGUAGGCCUCAUGGUGGAAUAGCCCCUUAAAUAAAGUUUUGAAGGAUAAAUGGGUAAGAAUCAUCAAGGCCGACGAUAACAGGUCCAGACACAAGUGAGCGUCUAUGGAGGUACAGAUGUGUGAAACAGCACUGAGUGAGAUUCAUCGGGAACACAACAAGGACGUGGGUCCAACAUGGCAGCUGCUCUCAGCGAGCACAGCUGAUUGGACUGACUGAGAGAUGGAGAGGCACUGAACAGCGUCAAGUAGAGGCCUCACUAUUCUCAUCUUUAAGAUGCUUUGGAUGGAUAAGAUCAUCUUAAUGUAGUCCAUUCUACCUUUGAAGUUCUAGGACUUAGUCGCCCCAAAGGAAGAUCGGAGUACAAGUAUAAAAGGCUUUCAAUUCCAGGUGUGUGACAGGCACUGGGCUAAGCUCUGGAAACACACCCAUGAACUGGCUAUGCCUUCAAGGAGCUGAAAAUGUUUCCAAUGGACUCACAAGUAGCAGCCCUGUCCUGGGAAUUGUUGAUGCAGCAGUAAACAAAACACCAUCCUGCUUUCAAUGAUGUCAGAAUAUAAUGCCAAAGUAACAAGAAAAGAAACCAUUGAAAUACA
Felis catus (domestic cat) is the source of this 1323-nucleotide long non-coding RNA. RefSeq lists it as uncharacterized. NCBI's taxonomy places the organism in Eukaryota, Metazoa, Chordata, Mammalia, Carnivora, Felidae. The record is from RefSeq and is a predicted model, not a curated record. The transcript has 4 exons.